Molecule: ribosomal RNA, 282 nt
Filed under: Triticum aestivum (bread wheat)
Lineage: Eukaryota; Viridiplantae; Streptophyta; Magnoliopsida; Poales; Poaceae
Description: partial small subunit ribosomal RNA
Source: RNAcentral
AUGAAGUUUGUUGUCGCUUUCGGUGCAGGUAGACUGUUAUCCCCUAUCUUCCACAGAAAAGUCCAGGGAAAUUUUGGUAGACUUCUUUUUCUGCGGGGAAUUAUGGUGGAUUUCUUUGACAUAUGGCAGGAAACACUUUCGAAGAAGUCGCUGCCUGGUCGAUUCAUCCAUGUAGAAUCAGAAUUUCCAGAGUAUGGCUUUUCAGAUCGCCACUCUUUCCAGCACACCGCGGUCCAGCACGCCACCUGCUUGCAGCAACUCAUGGCAGCAGUGAGGGUCUAG